Molecule: ribosomal RNA, 468 nt
Filed under: uncultured bacterium
Lineage: Bacteria
Description: partial 16S ribosomal RNA
Rfam family: Bacterial small subunit ribosomal RNA
Source: RNAcentral
GACGAACGCUGGCGGCGUGCUUAACACAUGCAAGUCGAACGGAAAGGCCCUGCUUUUGUGGGGUGCUCGAGUGGCGAACGGGUGAGUAACACGUGAGUAACCUGCCCUUGACUUUGGGAUAACUUCAGGAAACUGGGGCUAAUACCGGAUAGGAGCUCCUGCUGCAUGGUGGGGGUUGGAAAGUUUCGGCGGUUGGGGAUGGACUCGCGGCUUAUCAGCUUGUUGGUGGGGUAGUGGCUUACCAAGGCUUUGACGGGUAGCCGGCCUGAGAGGGUGACCGGCCACAUUGGGACCGAGAUACGGCUCAGACUCCUACGGGAGGCAGCAGUGGGGAAUAUUGCACAAUGGGCGGAAGCCUGAUGCAGCAACGCCGCGUGCGGGAUGACGGCCUUCGGGUUGUAAACCGCUUUCGCCUGUGACGAAGCGUGAGUGACGGUAAUGGGUAAAGAAGCACCGGCUAACUACGUG